RNAcentral lists this ribosomal RNA (329 nucleotides) under Ceracris kiangsu (yellow-spined bamboo locust). RNAcentral's name for it is "partial 16S ribosomal RNA". The record is from RNAcentral. Lineage: Eukaryota; Metazoa; Arthropoda; Insecta; Orthoptera; Acrididae.
ACUGUCUCUUAAUAAUUUAUAAAAUUUAACUUUUGAGUCAAAAGGCUUAAAUUUUUCUUUAGGACGAGAAGACCCUAUAGAGCUUAACAUAUAAUUUAUAUUUAUACAUUAGAUGGUUUUUAUAUAUUUAAUGAUAAUGUUUUGUUGGGGUGACAUGAAGAAUUAAUAAACUCUUCAUUAUAAAAUCAUUAAUUUAUGUUUGUUUUUGAUCCAUAAUUUAUGAUCAUAAGAUUAAGUUACCUUAGGGAUAACAGCGUAAUUGUUUUUGAGAGCUCAAAUCAACAAAGCAGAUUGCGACCUCGAUGUUGGAUUAAGAAAAAUUUUGGGUG